Molecule: ribosomal RNA, 120 nt
Filed under: Castor canadensis (American beaver)
Lineage: Eukaryota; Metazoa; Chordata; Mammalia; Rodentia; Castoridae
Source: RNAcentral
GUCUAUGGCCAUACCACCCUGAAUGUACCCGAUUUCGUCUGGUCUUAGAAGCUAAGCAGAGUUGGGCCUGGUUACUACUUGGAUGGGAGAAAGAUCUUCAGAGGAGACUGCUCAGAGACA